This 646-nucleotide ribosomal RNA is filed under the name Micrococcus luteus. RNAcentral's name for it is "bacterial SSU rRNA". It matches the Rfam family "Bacterial small subunit ribosomal RNA", at positions 31 to 691 of the family's 1533-position model. The record is from RNAcentral. Lineage: Bacteria; Bacillati; Actinomycetota; Actinomycetes; Micrococcales; Micrococcaceae.
AAAGCCUGGCGGCGUGCUUACACAUGCAAGUCGAACGAUGAAGCCCAGCUUGCUGGGUGGAUUAGUGGCGAACGGGUGAGUAACACGUGAGUAACCUGCCCUUAACUCUGGGAUAAGCCUGGGAAACUGGGUCUAAUACCGGAUAGGAGCGUCCACCGCAUGGUGGGUGUUGGAAAGAUUUAUCGGUUUUGGAUGGACUCGCGGCCUAUCAGCUUGUUGGUGAGGUAAUGGCUCACCAAGGCGACGACGGGUAGCCGGCCUGAGAGGGUGACCGGCCACACUGGGACUGAGACACGGCCCAGACUCCUACGGGAGGCAGCAGUGGGGAAUAUUGCACAAUGGGCGCAAGCCUGAUGCAGCGACGCCGCGUGAGGGAUGACGGCCUUCGGGUUGUAAACCUCUUUCAGUAGGGAAGAAGCGAAAGUGACGGUACCUGCAGAAGAAGCACCGGCUAACUACGUGCCAGCAGCCGCGGUAAUACGUAGGGUGCGAGCGUUAUCCGGAAUUAUUGGGCGUAAAGAGCUCGUAGGCGGUUUGUCGCGUCUGUCGUGAAAGUCCGGGGCUUAACCCCGGAUCUGCGGUGGGUACGGGCAGACUACAGUGCAGUAGGGGAGACUGGAAAUCCUGGUGUAACGGUGGAAUGCGC